UACGUAGGGGGCAAGCGUUGUCCGGAAUCAUUGGGCGUAAAGCGCGCGUAGGCGGCUCUGUAAGUCCGUUGUGAAAGUCAAAGGCUCAACCUUUGAAAGCCGAUGGAUACUGCAGGGCUAGAGUCCGGAAGAGGCGAGUGGAAUUCCUGGUGUAGCGGUGGAAUGCGCAGAUAUCAGGAGGAACACCAAUAGCGAAGGCAGCUCGCUGGGACGGUACUGACGCUAAGGCGCGAAAGCGUGGGGAGCAAACAGG
This 253-nucleotide ribosomal RNA is filed under the name uncultured bacterium. RNAcentral describes it as "partial 16S ribosomal RNA". It matches the Rfam family "Bacterial small subunit ribosomal RNA", at positions 524 to 776 of the family's 1533-position model. The record is from RNAcentral.